Molecule: ribosomal RNA, 468 nt
Filed under: uncultured bacterium
Lineage: Bacteria
Description: partial 16S ribosomal RNA
Rfam family: Bacterial small subunit ribosomal RNA
Source: RNAcentral
GACGAACGCUGGCGGCGUGCUUAACACAUGCAAGUCGAACGGAAAGGCCCUGCUUUUGUGGGGUGCUCGAGUGGCGAACGGGUGAGUAACACGUGAGUAACCUGCCCUUGACUUUGGGAUAACUUCAGGAAACUGGGGCUAAUACCGGAUAGGAGCUCCUGCUGCAUGGUGGGGGUUGGAAAGUUUCGGCGGUUGGGGAUGGACUCGCGGCUUAUCAGCUUGUUGGUGGGGUAGUGGCUUACCAAGGCUUUGACGGGUAGCCGGCCUGAGAGGGUGACCGGCCAAAUUGGGACUGAGGUACGGCCCAGACUCCUACGGGAGGCAGAAGGGGGGAAUAUUGCACAAUGGGCGGAAGCCUGAUGCAGCAACGCCGCGUGCGGGAUGACGGCCUUCGGGUUGGAAACCGCUUUCGCCUGUGACGAAGCGUGAGUGACGGUAAUGGGUAAAGAAGCACCGGCUAACUACGUG